RNAcentral lists this ribosomal RNA (370 nucleotides) under uncultured organism. RNAcentral's name for it is "bacterial SSU rRNA". It matches the Rfam family "Bacterial small subunit ribosomal RNA", at positions 526 to 896 of the family's 1533-position model. The record is from RNAcentral.
CGAAGGGGGCUAGCGUUGUUCGGAAUUACUGGGCGUAAAGCGUGCGCAGGCGGCCAUCCAAGUCAGUGGUGAAAGCCCGGAGCUCAACUCCGGAAUUGCCAUUGAAACUGUUUGGCUCGAGUACGAGAGAGGUGAGUGGAAUUCCCAGUGUAGAGGUGAAAUUCGUAGAUAUUGGGAAGAACACCGGUGGCGAAGGCGGCUCACUGGCUCGUAACUGACGCUCAUGCACGACAGCGUGGGGAUCAAACAGGAUUAGAUACCCUGGUAGUCCACGCCGUAAACGAUGAACGCUAGCCGUUAGGCAGCUUGCUGCUUAGUGGCGCAGCUAACGCAUUAAGCGUUCCGCCUGGGGAGUACGGCCGCAAGGUUG